Chanos chanos (milkfish) is the source of this 133-nucleotide small nucleolar RNA. RefSeq annotates it as small nucleolar RNA SNORA49. The record is from RefSeq and is a predicted model, not a curated record. The transcript has a single exon. Lineage: Eukaryota; Metazoa; Chordata; Actinopteri; Gonorynchiformes; Chanidae.
CUCCCUAUCCAACUCCUGGAGCCUCUGAGUUUGGUGGGGGACUCUGGGUUCUCUGUAAUGGGGUAGAACAGCGAGCGCUCUUCCCUCCCUGCUGGAUCCAGUUCCUGACGGGGCCUACAGAGACGCUGACAAU